CAUAAUAUAUCUACACCACUCGUUCCAACGUGUUUCUACCCAUGGAUAUAAUGACUACAUUUUCUCAGUCCAUUAUUAACUAAUAAACACAAAAUAUGAAUAAAUGUAAGAAACUACAAGAGGAAAUUUUGAGAAAGGUAUUGGACAUGGCUCAGACAUUUAGUUAGGCCAACACAUUGUCUUCAUCUACAAGACACCCUAUGUUCUUAAACAUUGUUCUUUCAUAUUGGAAGAUGUUGCGUGUCUGAUAGAUUUGUUUGCAAGUUGAACAUGCUUUCGGUCGUUGCACUCGUGGAGGCACCGAUUGACUUGGAGAUCAUGUCUGUCAUCUCAUUAUGGGCAUCUUGCUCCCCCAUCUGUCUUGAGGUAGCUUGUGUCUUAAGCGG
Molecule: long non-coding RNA, 386 nt
Filed under: Theobroma cacao (cacao)
Lineage: Eukaryota; Viridiplantae; Streptophyta; Magnoliopsida; Malvales; Malvaceae
Description: long non-coding RNA (TCAC_LNC004025)
Source: RNAcentral